AAAGCUUAAAAAUAAGAGAGGUGUACAU
RNAcentral lists this non-coding RNA (28 nucleotides) under Rattus norvegicus (Norway rat). Lineage: Eukaryota; Metazoa; Chordata; Mammalia; Rodentia; Muridae. The record is from RNAcentral.